UGUCAAACUACAAAGGGCUCACGGU
RNAcentral lists this ribosomal RNA (25 nucleotides) under Candidatus Synechococcus spongiarum. Its description in RNAcentral is "partial 23S ribosomal RNA". The record is from RNAcentral. Lineage: Bacteria; Bacillati; Cyanobacteriota; Cyanophyceae; Synechococcales; Synechococcaceae.